AUUGACGGGGACCCGCACAAGCGGUGGAUGAUGUGGUUUAAUUCGACGCAACGCGAAAAACCUUACCUACCCUUGACAUGUCUGGAAUCUUGAAGAGAUUUGGGAGUGCUCGAAAGAGAGCCAGAACACAGGUGCUGCAUGGCCGUCGUCAGCUCGUGUCGUGAGAUGUUGGGUUAAGUCCCGCAACGAGCGCAACCCUUGUCAUUAGUUGCUACGAAAGGGCACUCUAAUGAGACUGCCGGUGACAAACCGGAGGAAGGUGGGGAUGACGUCAGGUCAUCAUGGCCCUUAUGGGUAGGGCUACACACGUCAUACAAUGGCCGGUACAGAGGGUUGCCAACCCGCGAGGGGGAGCCAAUCCCAGAAAACCGGUCGUAGUCCGGAUCGUAGUCUGCAACUCGACUGCGUGAAGUCGGAAUCGCUAGUAAUCGCGGAUCAGCUUGCCGCGGUGAAUACGUUCCCGGGCCUUGUACACACCGCCUACGCAUAUGACUAGUAGCAGUGGGGAUUUUGGACAUGGGCGCAAGCCUGAUCCAGCCAUGCUCGUUCGUGCGGGAAGAAGGCCUUCGGGUUGUAAACCGCUUUUGUCAGGGAAGAAACGGACUGGGUUAAUACCCUGGUUUAAUGACGGUACCUGAAGAAUAAGCACCGGCUAACUACGUGCCAGCAGCCGCGGUAAUACGUAGGGUGCGAGCGUUAAUCGGAAUUACUGGGCGUAAAGCGUGCGCAGGCGGUUAUGCAAGACAGAUGUGAAAUCCCCGGGCUCAACCUGGGAACUGCAUUUGUGACUGCAUAGCUAGAGUACGGUAGAGGGGGAUGGAAUUCCGCGUGUAGCAGUGAAAUGCGUAGAUAUGCGGAGGAACACCGAUGGCGAAGGCAAUCCCCUGGACCUGUACUGACGCUCAUGCACGAUAGCGUGGGAGCAACAGGAUUAGAUAC
Molecule: ribosomal RNA, 939 nt
Filed under: uncultured bacterium
Lineage: Bacteria
Description: bacterial SSU rRNA
Rfam family: Bacterial small subunit ribosomal RNA (bases 1-543)
Source: RNAcentral